RNAcentral lists this ribosomal RNA (453 nucleotides) under uncultured bacterium. Its description in RNAcentral is "bacterial SSU rRNA". It matches the Rfam family "Bacterial small subunit ribosomal RNA", at positions 9 to 508 of the family's 1533-position model. The record is from RNAcentral.
GGUUUCGAUUAUGGCUCAGGAUGAACGCUGGCGGCGUGCUUAACACAUGCAAGUCGAACGAACCUUCGGGUUAGUGGCGGACGGGUGAGUAACGCGUGAGAAUCUGCCCUCAGGAGGGGGAUAACAGCUGGAAACGGCUGCUAAUACCCCAUGUGCCGCGAGGUGAAAUGAAUUUCGCCUGAGGAUGAGCUCGCGUCUGAUUAGCUAGUUGGUGUGGGUAAUGGCUCACCAAGGCAUCGAUCAGUAGCUGGUCUGAGAGGAUGAUCAGCCACACUGGGACUGAGACACGGCCCAGACUCCUACGGGAGGCAGCAGUGGGGAAUUUUCCGCAAUGGGCGAAAGCCUGACGGAGCAACGCCGCGUGAGGGAUGAAGGCCUCUGGGCUGUAAACCUCUUUUAUCAAGGAAGAAGAUCUGACGGUACUUGAUGAAUAAGCCACGGCUAAUUCCGUGC